GAUUGAACGCUGGCGGCAGGCUUAACACAUGCAAGUCGAGCGGGGAAGGGUCGCCUCCCUCCCUAACCUAGCGGCGGACGGGUGAGUAAUGCUUAGGAAUCUGCCUAUUAGUGGGGGACAACAUUUCGAAAGGGAUGCUAAUACCGCAUACGCCCUAAGGGGGAAAGCAGGGGAUCUUCGGACCUUGCGCUAAUAGAUGAGCCUAAGUCGGAUUAGCUAGUUGGUGGGGUAAAGGCCUACCAAGGCGACGAUCUGUAGCGGGUCUGAGAGGAUGAUCCGCCACACUGGGACUGAGACACGGCCCAGACUCCUACGGGAGGCAGCAGUGGGGAAUAUUGGACAAUGGGGGGAACCCUGAUCCAGCCAUGCCGCGUGUGUGAAGAAGGCCUUUUGGUUGUAAAGCACUUUAAGCGAGGAGGAGGCUACCGAGAUUAAUACUCUUGGAUAGUGGACGUUACUCGCAGAAUAAGCACCGGCUAACUCUGUGCCAGCAGCCGCGGUAAUACAGAGGGUGCGAGCGUUAAUCGGAUUUACUGGGCGUAAAGCGUGCGUAGGCGGCUUUUUAAGUCGGAUGUGAAAUCCCCGAGCUUAACUUGGGAAUUGCAUUCGAUACUGGGAAGCUAGAGUAUGGGAGAGGAUGGUAGAAUUCCAGGUGUAGCGGUGAAAUGCGUAGAGAUCUGGAGGAAUACCGAUGGCGAAGGCAGCCAUCUGGCCUAAUACUGACGCUGAGGUACGAAAGCAUGGGGAGCAAACAGGAUUAGAUACCCUGGUAGUCCAUGCCGUAAACGAUGUCUACUAGCCGUUGGGGCCUUUGAGGCUUUAGUGGCGCAGCUAACG
RNAcentral lists this ribosomal RNA (837 nucleotides) under uncultured Pseudomonadota bacterium. RNAcentral describes it as "bacterial SSU rRNA". It matches the Rfam family "Bacterial small subunit ribosomal RNA", at positions 27 to 857 of the family's 1533-position model. The record is from RNAcentral. Lineage: Bacteria; Pseudomonadati; Pseudomonadota.